Long non-coding RNA from Apis laboriosa (Himalayan honeybee), 2084 nucleotides. RefSeq lists it as uncharacterized. Lineage: Eukaryota; Metazoa; Arthropoda; Insecta; Hymenoptera; Apidae. The transcript is spliced from 3 exons. The record is from RefSeq and is a predicted model, not a curated record.
UCCCUUUUAUAAUAAUAUCCGCGUAGAUUGAAGGACAACUUAAUUAGCCGAGAUCGUUAGAACCCCCGUGAAAGACCACGACGAUGCUCCCCACCGGACUAGAAUUCGCCGAUUAUGUGGAGAAUAACCUUCGUUCCUAUUAUAGAUUCAUUUUCAGGUUAGAAAUAAGCGUUACGAUCAGUCUCGUGCGGGAUUCACGUGCUCACAUUAUUUCUUUUAUCGAAAAUGACAGUAAAAAUAAAGAGAGAUAAGUAUUCUAAUAUAAUUCUAAUGAUUAGUGCUUUUAAUAAAAUUUUUUGUUGGAAUAUAAGAAAGCGAAAUAGAGAAUUCGAAAAUAUCGAAUUGACUCGAGAAUUUCGACUUUCUCGUAAAGAUUAGGAUUAUUUUUUUAAUUUUUUAUACAAAAUUAUUCAGUUCUUUAAAAUUCUGAAAAAUUCUGAUUUUAUUUUAAUCAUCUCGAAAAACGAUGUUUUCGAACUAUGAGAUACUUUCGAGAUCCGACUCGAUACGAUUCGACCCGAUCUUUUCCGAUCUGUUCCGAUCUAUUCCGAGCGUUCCCGAUAUUUUCGGGUUCUCGCACAUCUCUAAAGCGAAACAACAAUUAAUCUAUCCAGAGGAUAAAAUAAUAAUAUAAUAAUAAAACAAGAAUAUCUCUCGGGCAUUGUAAACUUAGUUUAAUAUAAACUUAACGUAACGAACAUAACCUUAACCUAACUCAAAUCCAAAUGUCUAACCUUUGAAAAAUAACAGAGAAGUAAAAUUGAAUUUACAUCUAACUAAAAAAUAAUUGAAUAUGUGUUUACAUGUUAUAUGUUAGAAUUGUGUUUACAGUGUUACAAAAUAGAAUUUUCUGUGCAACGAAGAAACACUUGUGCAACGAGCAGGUUGAAUUAAUUUUUUAAUUUCAACGAGACUUUCAGACGAGCACAUGGCAACAUUUCACGAAUUGAAUUCGGACGAGGCGUGUAUUUCCAUAUGCAACUGUAUGGCCUUUGAAUACGAUCGAACUGGACGAUAAACUGGCGAGAAAUUAGCUGGUAUAAAUCACACGCGGAAUACUAUAAUGACAAAAUCUAAUGUACAGGCGCCGUUGGGAGAUCGGAGUUCAACUAAUUUUCAGAAACUCUAAGGAUACAAUCGUCCAAAAUUAGAUGCAAUCCCCGGGAGAACGGACGAAAAUCCACCAAGUAACCAAAUAUCCUGAAUCGAAAUGGUUCUCUUUGACAUACAUAUGUAAUAUGUAACGUAAUAUCAUAUACAAGAGAUAGAUAGAGAAGAGAACUAGAAGUUGAGAACUAAUAAUUUUAAUAUCAAAGAAUAAACCGUGUAAGAAAGAAAAAAAAUCAAAAUUUUUGACUAAUUGUGGAAUACUACAAGCUCGAAUAAAAGUUUAAUAUGCUGCGCGGAUACAAUAACGAGUAUCUGGUUAUGGAUAUUAUACAUUCUUAAUUUAUUUAACUUAUUCUCUCGACGAACGAGAUAUUCUUUUUUUCUUCAUUUGCAGAAACUUCAUUUCAAUUACACUGGAAGCUGUGUUCAGGAAGUUUAAUAUGCAAUUAUCGUUCUGGAAUAAAUGAAAGAGCAGUGUCAAUCGAGGAAAACACGAAGGUUAAAAACAAUUGACUAACGACAUAAAGGAAUACGUAAUAAGAGCAUACGAGUCAAAGGUAAAUGUUCGCGUUAAUAGGCAAUUACCAAGCAGUUUCCGCGUGGAACACGUUCCUCUCGAUGAAAGCCUUACGCUUGCCGACCGUAUAAUCGAAAAUUAGGGUGCAGUUAGCAAGUGCUUAAGCAACAACUGUUUAUUGAUAUAGUUAAUGAAUUUCCGCGCAAACUUGUUGUGUCUCGAUAAAUAUCAUUGCACGACUCGUCGAAAAUAAAUUUUGCUCGAACGUAGGAGUCGGUUCUUGAAAUACAAAAUGGAAAAAUAUUAUUGAAAUAAUUAUUUCUCCACUUGUUCGUUCAUAGACCACUUGUGUAAUAAAAUAUAACGAUCAAUUGAUGUAUGUAUCAUUUUGAAAAAUUCUAAAUUUAAAUUAUUAUUUUAAAAGCUAUGUAAUUAAACCUCGUUAUUAAAAUUAAGU